CGAGCCUAAUACAUGCAAGUCGAGCGAAUGGAUUGAGAGCUUGCUCUCAAGAAGUUAGCGGCGGACGGGUGAGUAACACGUGGGUAACCUGCCCAUAAGACUGGGAUAACUCCGGGAAACCGGGGCUAAUACCGGAUAACAUUUUGAACUGCAUGGUUCGAAAUUGAAAGGCGGCUUCGGCUGUCACUUAUGGAUGGACCCGCGUCGCAUUAGCUAGUUGGUGAGGUAACGGCUCACCAAGGCAACGAUGCGUAGCCGACCUGAGAGGGUGAUCGGCCACACUGGGACUGAGACACGGCCCAGACUCCUACGGGAGGCAGCAGUAGGGAAUCUUCCGCAAUGGACGAAAGUCUGACGGAGCAACGCCGCGUGAGUUGAUUGAAGGCUUUCGGGUACGUAAAACUCUGUUGUUAGGGAAGAACAAGUGCUAGUUGAAUAAGCUGGCACCUUGACGGUACCUAACCAGAAAGCCACGGGCUAACUACGUGCCAGCAGCCGCGGUAAUACGUAGUGGCAGCGUUAUUCNGGAAUAAUUUGGGGCNGUAAAGCAGCGCNGCCACGGUGUUUUUAA
This 571-nucleotide ribosomal RNA is filed under the name uncultured bacterium. RNAcentral describes it as "bacterial SSU rRNA". It matches the Rfam family "Bacterial small subunit ribosomal RNA", at positions 43 to 598 of the family's 1533-position model. The record is from RNAcentral.